AUGCCGCUGCUAUUAACACACAGCGAGCUGCACGGCAGACAGCGCCUUCCUCCUCCCGUUCGGGGCCUGCGUCCGUGUGCUGGCAUAUGGCAUCACCACCGUCCUGAGAACUCCCUCUCAGCCCCACCCUCAUGCCCAGAUCAUGCGAAGAAAGAGCAUCUAUACGUUCCAACAGGGAUGGGAGCAAGUGAUGACAAAGCUCUGCCCUUGCUGACGCAUGUCUGGGAGAACGGCAGUUACAGCAGAGCCGAGCCUUCACCAGGAACAGAAUGUGAAUUGGAUUCAGAGAACAGGAAAGCCUGUCAGGCUGAUCUGGCCGUCCCAGGACAUUCCCUUUGGUACAGCUCUUGUUUAUGGGACUUGCAGCCCUCCCCCUUCCUUCCCUGAUGGUUUCUCAUUUUCUGGCCAGGCCCUAGAGUCUCCACUUCUGUUCAAAACAGUUUUUCUUUACGUUGGCAUUGGAACAAAAGUGAAUCACGCAGCGUUUGCUGACUUCACUUUGUAUAAAGAUUAGGAAAACAGUUGAGAUAAAUACUGGCUUCAGAAUGUGGAAUAAUCUGGAUCAUUUUAACAGACCACGCCAUGGCCAGCAACUCAGAACCCUUCCCCUUUCCAGAUACGCGGCUUGAGGUCCCACCAGUCUCCACUUCCCACCUAGCCCGCGAUUAACUCCGCACUUUCUUAUAAACUCUGCCAGCUUCCUAUAGACGAACUAAUCACAAUGCUGCACAGUGCUUGGGUUCCCGCCCCUUCCAGCUGACCUCUGAGGAAGCGAAAGCUUUAGUCUGUGAAUUUUUGGGGUGUGUAAUUGUGAACAGUAAUUGCAGACUGAUUUUCCUCUCCUCUGGCUUUUCCCCUCACCACAUGUGCAUGCUUUAGCCUUGCCUGUCUCAGACCUAUUCAGAAUGCUGUUCCCAUCACUUUGACCAUGUCCAUUCCCCUGGCUUCUCCUUCUCUAUCGCGUCAAACAUCAGCUGCUUCUCUUCACUUUCACGGCCACGCCUGGCCUGUCCCCACCCUCCCUAUCAGCUCCUACCUCUGAUCAGCCAAUGAUGCCACCUCCAUCACCCACUUGUGACAUUUUCAAAGCAGCCUCUUCCUCGCAAGCUUUCUCCCACGCUGCCCCUCACACUUGGGAGAAGCUGCCUCCUUCUUCUCCUUCAAAUUCCUCCUUAGAACUCUCUUCUGGUGCGAUCCCUACAGACACCUGACCACAGCUAGGAUGUUGGUGUGCUGAGACCACUGCCUGUCAUG
RNAcentral lists this long non-coding RNA (1254 nucleotides) under Chrysemys picta bellii (western painted turtle). RNAcentral's name for it is "lncRNA (ENSCPBG00000021606.1)". The record is from RNAcentral. Lineage: Eukaryota; Metazoa; Chordata; Testudines; Emydidae.